RNAcentral lists this long non-coding RNA (273 nucleotides) under Gossypium barbadense (sea-island cotton). Its description in RNAcentral is "long non-coding RNA (GBAR_LNC004838)". Lineage: Eukaryota; Viridiplantae; Streptophyta; Magnoliopsida; Malvales; Malvaceae. The record is from RNAcentral.
CACGACCUCCAGGAGGAUACAGCAGCUCUCAAGCAAGAGCAACAAUCUCUUAAUGAUCGGAUGAGCAACAUAAAACGUGGCCUCCUCCACGAGGCCUCUCUCGAGCCCUCUGGACGCUUUGCCUCACGCCUCCGCCUCCUCUUUGGUGACGAUAAUUAGACUCUUCUGAUCCUACUGUCUAGUAUUUUCCUUGAUAAUAUCAUAUCUUUAGUGUCUCCACCUUACGUCAAGAGAAUGCACUGAAAUUUUAGGUUUUUAAAUUUUGCACUUUUG